UCCCUCUCUCUCGUCCCUUUCGAAACUCACCCUUUAGAGACCCCCAAAGAACCCUAGAAGCCACCACCAUUCUCCCACUGCUUUAGGGUGAGGCGCCACCUCCAAUCCCUCCCAAAUUAACACUCUAUGAGCCCCACGACCCCUUCUUCCCAAAUCCCUGGUCAGUUUCCUUUGAAUCUUUCUGGAGUUUCUCGAAUUUUAGAUCGAAGAUGAACCCUAAAAAUCCCAAGUCGAGAUUUUGUUGAAAUUUUGGGUCUAAUCUGAUUUAUUCAUGUGCUUUUUGUAAGAGCACACGAUUAAAAUUAGAUUUGGCCGAAAAAUCAAAGGAUUUGAAGACUCAGAAUCCACUAUUCAUUGUUUGAGCUUUUAGUAGGUAUUUUCUUCUUUUUCUUCGGUUUAAUCUAUUAUUAAUUCUUUUUUUCUUCCGUUUCUCUGUUUCUGCUUUUCUUCAUGGUUCCUUUUUUAUUUUUUAUUCGUUCAUGCAUGAGUAACUAUGAAUCUGUUUUUGGUCAGUAUGGUUAAUUUCAGAGAGUAAGUCAUUUAGGCUAAUUUUUAAUUGACGAAACAUUUCAGCAUGUGUUAUGUGGUGCUUAUAGUUUGUUAAUUAGAUAAGUGUUAGUUUGGGGCUAAUUGGUUUUCUGAAUUCGAUAUGAGCUUUUGGGUAAAUUCUAAUCCAUCUUGAGUCUGAACCAUUGGCUCAAAGUUUGGCCCAUGACUCGUUCUGGUUUCAGGGGUUAAUUUCAUAGGUUAUAGGGGUAAGUUGGGAAAACUGGGAAAGGGAAUCUAUGAGUAACUUAUUAGGAAGCUUCUCAGAAGCUGUGAAGGGGACCUAAAUGAAAAUUCUGUUUUACACUAAGGUUCCCCAAGCAAAAAUAAAAAUCAGAAAAGGACUAAGGUGCAAAAACUUAUACCUAAGGGAGUUCCCUAAUGCCAUGCCUAUAAAGGCACAUUAACUUUGCAUUGAAGGCAGAACAAAAUAGAGAUAAAAAUCUGAAAAUCAAAAAUGGCUAAGAAUUUAAGAGAAGACUAUUGUUGCGUUGAAUUUCCAUCUCUGAUUCUUGAGGUUUUCAACUUCUGAAGCAAUUUUUGAUUCAUUUGGAGUUUGAAAAAUGGUUUGAAUUAGAAGCCAUAGCUGAUUUUCUGUGAUUUGAAAUGGUUCUAAUAUUUUGCUAAUUUUGGAUUUAAAAAAUGCACUGAAAUUGCUAUUAUGUUGUUAAUUGCUGCUACUAGAUUGAUGUUGAUCUCACCUUCUUCUUCUAAUAUUCUGUAGUUAUUUUGGUUGCAUCCAGGUACACUUUCGAAUCAUUGCAAUGGAAAUGUAAAUAUUGAAUGAGAAGUGGUGUUUCAAUAUCCAUAUUUCUGCUCUUUUCUAAAGUCUAAUUUUAGUAGUUUUGUUGUGCUUUGAUAUUUAUCAAUUGCAGUUUUAAUUGAACUUAGUAUUAUUUCAAUGAAGGUCAUGUAGUUGUUUGUAAUUGUAAAAUUGGACUUUCAUUUUAUUUCAGUAGUUUCAAGUGUAUUCGAAUGAAUUUUUAGCUUAGUAUUAAAGGCCUAAUGACAUGAUAUACUACUGCUUGGUCACUAGUUUAUGUACUGAAACCAAUGUUAUAAUUAGCUUAGAUGUAUCUUUGUGUUGGAUGUACUUGAAGAGUAGAUAAAUUUUUCUCAAAUAAUAUCAAUUUAAGGGCUCUUAAGGUGUCAUCUUUGAGGGUUGACUGGACUACCCUGCACUUAGUAUAUCAGUAUAUGCAAAUAGGUGUAUGCAUGUUAGUUAAAAAAAUCUGAUCCAUGGAAUUGGUCUAUUAAUUGUCUUUGAUCUAAUGUUUGGAGUUGAACAAGGUUAAGUCUAUGUUAGCAAUUGUAUUCUUCUGAAAUCAUGUUGGUGAUGGGUUGGAUUCAAUGUUUUGCUUCCUUUUAUAUUUCUGAUAUUGAAUCCAUGUUAGCAAUUUCUAUUUUGAAGUCACGUUGAUAUUUGGUUAGAAGUCAUGAAUGAUGUUAUACUUUAAAUGGUGAAACAAACUGUAGGUGAGCUUUAUAACAUCAUGUAUGGCAUCUUUGUCAUAGAAUGUCAUUUGGUAUUAAAAAUACGCUUCAUAUCCGUUUAAGAUUGGCAAAAGUGGUCAGAACUUGUUCAAUCUCAAGAUUUCUCAUAAAGAACGUAAUUUGUUUCAAGUGAUGGUCAUGAAUCACGCAGAUGGGCCUUUGUCAUUAGCCAAGUUAUGUCUGAAGCCUCUUAGCUGAUCUAGUCUGGUUUUGGGCCUUACCUCGAGCCUAAUUCCCUUGUAUUGCUUGGCUAUUGUUACCUAAGUCUAGGAGCUGUUUCUUGUCCAAAUAUGGGCCAAUAUAGUGAUUGCAUAGGUUGCUCGUAGCUAUAUAUGCAGAACUUAAUUUAAAUGUGAACUCCUUAGUUUUUCUUUUAUUAAAUGUGAUCCACUUUAAUUGGUGGGGGUGGGCUAUAUUAGAUAACUUAAAUAGUUUAUUGCCAUCCAAAUGUAGUUUGAAUUC
This 2502-nucleotide long non-coding RNA is filed under the name Nicotiana benthamiana. Its description in RNAcentral is "long non-coding RNA (NBEN_LNC031514)". The record is from RNAcentral. Lineage: Eukaryota; Viridiplantae; Streptophyta; Magnoliopsida; Solanales; Solanaceae.